GAAUAUUGGACAAUGGGGGGAACCCUGAUCCAGCCAUGCCGCGUGUGUGAAGAAGGCCUUUUGGUUGUAAAGCACUUUAAGCGAGGAGAAGGCUACUCUAGUUAAUACCUAGAGAUAGUGGACGUUCCUCGCAGACCAAGCACCGGCCCACUCUGCGCCAGCCGCCGCGGUAAUACAGAGGGUGCAAGCGUUAAUCGGAUUUUCUGGGCGUAAAGCGCGCGUAGGUGGCCAAUUAAGUCAAAUGUGAAAUCCCCGAGCUUAACUUGGGAAUUGCAUUCGAUACUGGUUGGCUAGAGUAUGGGAGAGGAUGGUAGAAUUCCAGGUGUAGCGGUGAAAUGCGUAGAGAUCUAGAGGAAUACCGAUGGCGAAGGCAGCCAUCUGGCCUAAUACUGACACUGAGGUGCGAAAGCAUGGGGAGCAAACA
This 424-nucleotide ribosomal RNA is filed under the name uncultured bacterium. RNAcentral describes it as "bacterial SSU rRNA". It matches the Rfam family "Bacterial small subunit ribosomal RNA", at positions 359 to 774 of the family's 1533-position model. The record is from RNAcentral.